Molecule: ribosomal RNA, 918 nt
Filed under: Triticum aestivum (bread wheat)
Lineage: Eukaryota; Viridiplantae; Streptophyta; Magnoliopsida; Poales; Poaceae
Description: partial small subunit ribosomal RNA
Source: RNAcentral
AUGUCAUCAGUUGAGUCUCUAGGCCUGUUUCUUUGGAUAGUAGGUUCCCCUCAAUCUGUAAGACAAGCAGAAAACAGAUUUGUUAGGUCAUUGGAGACAAUUGUAAGGAAGUUUGAUAAGGUUUUGGAAUGUCUGAUCAAGCUUGCAAAAGACAUCAUCAGGCCAGUAGAUCGUCAAUUUAGAACUGUGCAUUCCAAAUUAAGAUCUAGAAAGUAUGCACCAUUUAUGGAUAAUUGCAUUGGUGCAAUAGAUGGGACACACAUACAAGUUGUGGUACCAGUUGCCACUGCUACCCAGCAUAGGAAUAGACACAAGGAGAAGAGUCAGAAUGUGAUGUGUGUGUGUGACUUUGAUAUGAGAUUCACAUUUGUCCUAGCUGGUUGGCCAGGAUCAGUGCAUGACAUGAGGGUCUUCAAUGAUGCACGAUCCAGAUUUGGUGACAAGUUUCCAAAACCUCCACCUAAUAAGUUUUAUCUUGUGGACUUAGGGGACCCAAAUAGACCGGGUUAUCUUGCACCAUACAAGGGUUUAACCUAUCAUUUCCAGGAGUACCGUGAUGGCACAAUGCCUAGAGGAAAAAAGGAACACUACAAUUUCACCCAUUCUUCACUUAGAAAUGUCAUCGAGAGGUGUUUUGGAGUCUUGAAGAACAAGUGGAGGAUUUUGUUUCACUUGCCUAGUUAUCCACAGCCGAAACAAAGCAAAAUCAUUGUGGCUUGCAUUGCACUGCACAAAUUUAUUAGACAAAGUCAACUGCCCGAUAUAGAAUUCGACAAGUGUGAUGAAGAUGAAAAUUAUGUACCAUUGUCUAUGCCAACGACCACAACAAAUGAUUCAACAAAUGAGACGGACAGUGCUGCUAUGAAUCAAUUCAGAGCUUGGGUCGCUGAUGGGUUGUGGUCCUUGAAACAACAAUGA